Molecule: long non-coding RNA, 296 nt
Filed under: Elaeis guineensis (African oil palm)
Lineage: Eukaryota; Viridiplantae; Streptophyta; Magnoliopsida; Arecales; Arecaceae
Description: long non-coding RNA (EGUI_LNC010636)
Source: RNAcentral
GGUUAUUCUCUGGAGUUCAACUUAUCGGGAGAGUCAUUUUGUGAUUUUUUUAUAUAGAUAGGAAGCUGUAGACCGUUAUAUUUAAAUCUGGUAGUUCUUUAGGUUGUUAGGCCUUGAUUUGAUAGACUGUUAGGAUAGUGAAUCCAUCCACUCACCUGUGAAUCAAGAUUAUUAGUUGUAGGUGUCAGUUAUGGAUUUUGUCCAUGUUCUAAAAGUUGUUGGGAGAUUCCAAUGAAUUGCCUAAGUAGCUAAAUAGGUUGAUGACUUGAGAUCUGUACAUGGUCGAGUUCCGCCUC